CAACGCCUGCCCAGUGAAUAAUUAAACGGCCGCGGUACCCUAACCGUGCAAAGGUAGCAUAAUCAUUUGUCUAUUAACUGUAGACCUGUAUGAAAGGCAAAAUGAGGGUUAAGCUGUCUCUUAUAAUAAAUCUAUUAAACUGAUCUUCUAGUAAAAAAGCUAGAAUAAUAACAUAAGACCAGAAGACCCUGUGAAGCUUAAACCAAACUAUUAAACCAAAUAAUAACUACUUUCGGUUGGGGCGACCUUGGAAAUAAAAAGAACUUCCAACACAAUACUUAAACAUAAAACAUUAGGCCAACAAGCCAACAAACGACCCAGCAAAGCUGAUAAACGAACAAAGUUACUCCAGGGAUAACAGCGCUAUCUUCUUCAAGAGCCCAUAUCAAAAAGAAGGUUUACGACCUCGAUGUUGGAUCAGGACAUCCUAAUGGUGCAACCGCUAUUAAAGGUUCGUUUGUUCAACGAUUAAUGUCCUACGU
This 482-nucleotide ribosomal RNA is filed under the name Hebius boulengeri (Tai-yong keelback). RNAcentral describes it as "partial large subunit ribosomal RNA". It matches the Rfam family "Bacterial large subunit ribosomal RNA", at positions 1853 to 2601 of the family's 2925-position model. Lineage: Eukaryota; Metazoa; Chordata; Lepidosauria; Squamata; Natricidae. The record is from RNAcentral.